UCUUUGGCGUCAUGGUUCUAGAAGCAUGAGGUUGGGAAGUGAGCGAGAAGGGGCUGAUCUGUGUGAUGUAUAAAUGGGUACCAGUGUGAACUGUAAGAUACAGCGAGGCAGUAACGUCCCUCCCAGUGCAUUUAACAAAUUGAACUUCACAGGCCGCACGAGGCCCCUUUGCUGCUGACUUGGCAGAGAAACCAAGGGCCAGGGAGAAUGAGCUCCCUUCUUCUGGCUUCACCAAGAUGAUCACCCAAGGAAAGAAAGGAUAAUUGUAUGAAAACUGUGGGACAAUGAGUGUUUAUUAAGUGACGGCACCCCAAAUAUAUUUAUUCAUGGAGCAAAAUCCUACACUGCAACCACAGUGAAUGAGCCUUUUCAUAGUCCUGGCUUGAGACUAGACCUCUUUCUGACCAAAUCCAUCAUCGCUGGGCCUUACUGGAUAUGGGUCAUAGGACAUCAGGCCUAAUAAGGGACAUUUAAGGGACAAAUAAGGGACAUUUUUUAUCAUACAGGACAAGGGGGCACAGUUGAGGCACAUUGACAGGGGCAGAGUAUGAAGGAUGCUGCCUGCUCAAUACUGGUCCCAUGGAUAAAUGGGCAACUCCAGAGUUGUCAGUCCAGAACCCUUUGCCAAUACUAAAGUCAAUAUUAAUGCUCCCAUGCUGCACAUGUCUUUAAAUUGGCUCAAAAUCAGAUUGUCAUGGUUAACAUUUACAAGUCACUUUUUUCACUUUUGAGGAUCAACCCUGCUCUCUGCCUUCCUCAAAGCUGAACCCCAGGCGGAAACAGUAAAAUACUUCCAGUGUAGGGUGCUGCCAUUUGGGGAAGCCUGACGAGAGAUGCCUUGGGCCUGCUCUGGCAUACCAGCCCCUGCAUUUCAGGUUCACUUCAGCUAGAAUAGUUUUUGCUGAAAAUUGGGUGCCUCGUGAAGGGCAUCUUUGCAAUAGGAGCCUCUAAACUCAAAGACUGGCCUGUGGCACUGUAGCUGUGGGGACUUGUUUAAGGUCAGGGGUAGGGAGCAAUGCCAGAAGGAGCAGAACUGAUAACCCCACAUAAGCACAGGGACCACAAAGCCAGGACUCUCCAUUGGCCAAAUCAAUCUGAGUCCAUGUCUCUUCCCUGCUCUGAAAGAGAAACCUCUGAUCCAAAGGUGCUGCCAGGAAGGGGGUUAUUUCGGUCAUUAUUUCUUCUUUGCAUUUUUCCCUUUUCAUUGCAGCAGCUCAGAGGGUUUGGGAAGGGUGGGGGGGGAAGGCACUGAGCUUGCAUUCACUGCUUACUUCUGUUUUCCAAAGGCAGCCAGCUUAUGACUGAUCAGAGCCUAGCGUCUCCUGAAAUAUCAUCAGGAAUUGGAGGACAGGGCCCGAUAAGAUCAUGCAGCCUACGGCCCUAAUUGUUUCACUUAGGAAGUAGUUAGAGUUCCAGGAAGCGCUGUAUUUCCAGAGCAAUGCUGACCCGCCAGCAGCCGCUAAGCCUGGCCUGGCCCUGACCUUGGACUGAGGAUGGGGGUGGUCAGCACUUUCACAGGACUCCAGGGGGACACGAUGUAUGGCGGUGAUAAAAGAAACUCCCAGCCCAGUGCAAACUUCUCGCUUGUUUGUCUCCCCUGCCAGCCAGGCCUGGAGAAAUGCUGCCACCGGCCCCACAGAUGUGGAAAAGCUUCUUGGCUGGGGGAUACCCUUCCAUUAUCUUGGCUGAGCACCGCGGGAGCCUGGGAGGUCCAUUCCCCCAGCGACUGAGCCGUAUCGCAAAACCAAAACGAAACACAUCAAGAGAAAGACAGCAUUCAGACAGAAGCAGCACGACUGAAUUGGCUAAUUUUGGUAACUCGUUCAACAAGAAGCAAAAAAGUUUCUGCCUUAAGAUUGCAGAAGUCCAAAUCUGAGUAUCAACUCCCAA
Alligator sinensis (Chinese alligator) is the source of this 1890-nucleotide long non-coding RNA. RefSeq lists it as uncharacterized. The record is from RefSeq and is a predicted model, not a curated record. The transcript has 4 exons. Lineage: Eukaryota; Metazoa; Chordata; Crocodylia; Alligatoridae.